ACGAAGUUGGAUUCGCUAGUAAUCGCGCAUCAGCCAUGGCGCGGUGAAUACGUUCCCGGGCCUUGUACACACCGCCCGUCAAGCCAUGGGAGCCGGGGGCGCCUGAAGUCCGGGACCGCGAGGACCGGCCUAAGGCGAAACUGGUGACUGGGGCUAAGUCGUAACAAGGUACC
RNAcentral lists this ribosomal RNA (173 nucleotides) under uncultured bacterium. RNAcentral describes it as "partial 16S ribosomal RNA". It matches the Rfam family "Bacterial small subunit ribosomal RNA", at positions 1320 to 1500 of the family's 1533-position model. The record is from RNAcentral.